Molecule: ribosomal RNA, 434 nt
Filed under: uncultured Oscillospiraceae bacterium
Lineage: Bacteria; Bacillati; Bacillota; Clostridia; Eubacteriales; Oscillospiraceae
Description: partial 16S ribosomal RNA
Rfam family: Bacterial small subunit ribosomal RNA
Source: RNAcentral
ACGGGAGGCAGCAGUGGGGAAUAUUGGGCAAUGGGCGCAAGCCUGACCCAGCAACGCCGCGUGAAGGAAGAAGGUCUUCGGAUUGUAAACUUUUGUCCUAUGGGACGAUAAUGACGGUACCAUGGGAGGAAGCCACGACUAACUACGUGCCAGCAGUCGCGGUAAUACGUAGGUGGCAAGCGUUAUCCGGAAUUACUGGGUGUAAAGGGUGCGUAGGCGGGAUGUAAAGUCAGAUGUGAAAUUCCAUGGCUUAACUGUGGACCUGCAUUUGAAACUUACGUUCUUGAGUGAAGUAGAGGCAAGCGGAAUUCCUAGUGUAGCGGUGAAAUGCGUAGAUAUUAGGAGGAACACCAGUGGCGAAGGCGGCUUGCUGGGCUUUUACUGACGCUGAGGCACGAAAGUGCGGGGAGCAAACAGGAUUAGAUACCCUGGUA